CACGCUGUAAACGAUCAAUACUAGGUGUGCGGGGACUGACCCCCUGCGUGCCGCAGUUAACACAAUAAGUAUUGCACCUGGGGAGUACGAUCGCAAGGUUGAAACUCAAAGGAAUUGACGGGGGCCCGCACAAGCGGUGGAUUAUGUGGUUUAAUUCGAAGCAACGCGAAGAACCUUACCAGGGUUUGACAUGGAGACGACAGGCGCAGAGAUGCGCUUUCCCUUCGGGGCGUCUCACACAGGUGG
This 246-nucleotide ribosomal RNA is filed under the name uncultured bacterium. RNAcentral describes it as "partial 16S ribosomal RNA". It matches the Rfam family "Bacterial small subunit ribosomal RNA", at positions 796 to 1041 of the family's 1533-position model. The record is from RNAcentral.